RNAcentral lists this ribosomal RNA (346 nucleotides) under uncultured bacterium. Its description in RNAcentral is "bacterial SSU rRNA". It matches the Rfam family "Bacterial small subunit ribosomal RNA", at positions 32 to 356 of the family's 1533-position model. The record is from RNAcentral.
AAUCAACGCUGGCGGCGUGCCUCAGACAUGCAAGUCGAACGCUGCUGUUCGCCUUCGGGUGGACAGCGGAGUGGCGCACGGGUGAGUAACACGUAGGUAAUCUACCUUUGGGUGGGGAAUAACAGCCGGAAACGGCUGCUAAUACCGCAUAAUGCAGCGGCAUCACAUGAUGACAGUUGUUAAAGCGAGGGAUCGUAAGACCUCGCGCCUGAAGAGGAGCCUGCGGCAGAUUAGGUAGUUGGUGAGGUAAUGGCUCACCAAGCCUGCGAUCUGUAACCGGCCUGAGAGGGCGGUCGGUCACACUGACACUGACAUACGGGUCAGACUCCUACGGGAGGCAGCAGUC